CGGUUUAGUUCACAGACAUAAUAAAGCGGUUUAGUAAAGCAGUACUCAUCUCAAGUGUUAUCCAUAGAUAAUUCUUCCUUGUUGAGCCUCCUUAUCGUUAUUAAUUAAAUUCUGUGCGAAACCUUUUCGCCGUAUGGCUCUGUAUAUAAUGAGGAAUUACCUAUGUCUAACAAAAUGACUGGUUUAGUAAAAUGGUUUAAUGAGUCCAAAGGAUUUGGCUUUAUUACCCCGGAUAAUGGUAGCAAGGAUGUGUUUGUUCACUUCUCUGCCAUCCAGAGCGGCGGCUUUAAGACCCUUAAUGAAGGGCAAAAAGUCGAGUUUACGAUUGAAAACGGGCAGAAAGGUCCAUCUGCAGGGAAUGUCUUCGCGAUUUAACGCUUAGCUUAACU
This 389-nucleotide small RNA is filed under the name Klebsiella variicola. Its description in RNAcentral is "cspA thermoregulator". It matches the Rfam family "cspA thermoregulator", at positions 3 to 386 of the family's 428-position model. The record is from RNAcentral. Lineage: Bacteria; Pseudomonadati; Pseudomonadota; Gammaproteobacteria; Enterobacterales; Enterobacteriaceae.